Cynara cardunculus var. scolymus (artichoke) is the source of this 680-nucleotide long non-coding RNA. RefSeq lists it as uncharacterized. Lineage: Eukaryota; Viridiplantae; Streptophyta; Magnoliopsida; Asterales; Asteraceae. The transcript has 2 exons. The record is from RefSeq and is a predicted model, not a curated record.
UUGCAAACCACGUGAUUCUAAGAAACUGAUCUCCACCAUCCAAUAUUUUCAUCAACGGCCAUCAAAUGAACCGGUGGCAUAAUGUAAAUAAAUGGUCUAUCAUGUUUCCAUUUUAAUUAAUUGAGAGGGAGAAGUCACAGAAACAGUGGUGAAGAUAAUCAAGAAACCAAUUCACGCGGAAUCAUGAACGAGGUCGGAAACGGAGUGAAAUAAUCAUGAUAUAGACAUCGUUUUUGAACUUCAAAACAGUGCAGAAAUCCAGCGCUCCCGAGACCAAGACGAUGGCGAUGAUUUCUGAAACAGUUAGCUUCAUGCAUUCAUGAAAAAUUGAUGAUGAUGGAGACGAUGGUGGUGAUGCAAAAAUCCAGUUAGCUGAAACCCAUUCAUGAAACAUUUAGCUUCAUGCAUUCAUAAAAAAUUGAUGGUGUGCAGAAACCCAUUCAUGAAACAGUUAGCUUCAUCCAUUCAUGAAAAAUUGAUGGUGAUGAUGCAGAAAUCCAGUGACCCAUAGCUUAUCAGCUUAAGUUUUAUACGUCUUUUUUUGUCAUAGCUUAUCAGCUAGUCUUUGUCAAAACGUCAGCUAUCAAUUAGUUUGCUAAACAUAGUCAUCAAGGUCAUUCUUGAAUAUCAACAUAACUUUGUCAUUAUUAAUUGAUGAUUUAACUCGUCUAUUAAGAUCC